CACAAAAUGACUCUCGCAACGGAUAUCUCGGCUCUUGCAUCGAUGAAGAACGUAGCGAAAUGCGAUACUUAGUGUGAAUUGUAGAAUCCCGUGAACCAUCAAGUCUUUGAACGCAAGUUGCGCCCGAAGUCAUCAAGCUGAGGGCACGCCUGCCUAGGUGUCACA
Molecule: ribosomal RNA, 165 nt
Filed under: Brachypterum koolgibberah
Lineage: Eukaryota; Viridiplantae; Streptophyta; Magnoliopsida; Fabales; Fabaceae
Description: Solori koolgibberah 5.8S ribosomal RNA
Rfam family: 5.8S ribosomal RNA
About the family: 5.8S ribosomal RNA (5.8S rRNA) is a component of the large subunit of the eukaryotic ribosome.
Source: RNAcentral